UGGGCAAAUUUUCCUCUGGACAGGUUUUGAUAAAUUCCCCCCACUUUGCUUUGUACAGAGAAUGCCAGAAACACUUUUCAAGUCUAUAAUUUGAGGACGUGGCCAGCUUAUAGGAACUAGCUAAAGGGUUAUGCUGAGACAAUAUUGUAUAAACAGAUUUCUGCAAUCUCAGCAUUCAGAAUAUUUGCAAAUACAAUGACAGAACAUUCCACGUUUGCUAUGGACCAGAAUUGGUAGAACAGCCAGAAUCCUGUCAGCUAAUGACUAUGGAACAGUGUGAACACAGACAGAUCUAUGAAGGAGAGAGCUCUACUGACUGUCGGAUUUUUUUCAAAACCUGCAGCAAAACACAUGGACAGACAUCAUUGUACACACAAACCCAGAUCAUAGGAAAAGAUCCAGGGAAUUUGUCUAAAAUAAACAAAAUG
This is a long non-coding RNA of Hyla sarda, 428 nucleotides long. RefSeq lists it as uncharacterized. The transcript is spliced from 3 exons. The record is from RefSeq and is a predicted model, not a curated record. Lineage: Eukaryota; Metazoa; Chordata; Amphibia; Anura; Hylidae.